Prunus dulcis (almond) is the source of this 907-nucleotide long non-coding RNA. RefSeq lists it as uncharacterized. Lineage: Eukaryota; Viridiplantae; Streptophyta; Magnoliopsida; Rosales; Rosaceae. The record is from RefSeq and is a predicted model, not a curated record. The transcript is spliced from 2 exons.
CUGAGCUAGAGGGAGAGAGCAUGUAGGCAACAUGGCUCGACUUUCGUGGCUGCUGCGAGUCUAACUUCCAAAAAGCAGCUCUUCUCAACCUCAGUUGACAGAGAAACGAGGCAUGGCUGGAACGUUUCGCAGAUGCUUGCUCUGUUGUACAACAGCAAUGGUCACGUUAAUUGCUAUGGUGGAUUUUGAGUGCCCCUCCUCCAAACCCAACUACCAGGACUGGGAUUCUAAAGCUGAGAAGCUGUGUCUGUGGGGGAAAGGAAAACACCAGGCUGAUUGAUAGAUGUGGAUGGGUGGACCAACCAACUAAACAAGUGGCUUAGUAAGUGGAGCAGAAGACAAAAUUCCCCUAGUGCACAACAGACUGGCACGCAUGCAUUUAUCCAAAGAGCUAAGGGCCCAAGGUGGGGAAAGGUUUGUUUGCUUUGCUUGUCUCAUUAUUCCCACUAAUGAGCAUGAAUACAGUACGUAAUGGCUGAUACUUGAUUGCUUUGCUUCUCUUAUGGCAAAAUAUCUUGAUUGCUUGGAAAAAGGUUUGUUUGCUUUGCUUGUCUCAUUAUUCCCACUAAUGAGCAUGAAUACAAUACGUAAUGGCUGAUACUUGAUUGCUUUGCUUCUCUUAUGGCAAAAUAUCUUGAUUGCUUGGAAAAAGGUUUGUUUGCUUUACUUGUCUCAUAUGUGGAAUAUUAUCUGGGGGACUAUUUGUCUAUUGGCUAUGAUCUUUCCACGAUCAACAUUUGGUAAAAGGGUGGCUCAAAAUGGUCAAAGAAGUGUAUGUGCAUGUAAGCUGACGAUUGGUUGGAAUGGUUUGUGCUUUGCUAAUGAUUAUCAUUUUCUGUAAAGAAAUUCUUAGCCAUUGAAAGACUCAUUUUGGUUAUGAUGAUGACCAAAUUUGAUGCAUGAUUAA